AAUAUCUGAGACGAGACCUGCAAAGACGCUGCUUCUUUUUCUUGUUUUGACACUUGUUCUUCUUUUCAUCACAGUUGACCAUCGAGUUUCAACUGUUUACUUGACUGUUUCACCUAAGCCCCAGGUGGACCCUUCUGAGCACAAUAAAAGUGUAUCCAAUUCACGAAAUAUGUUAAUUCAUUUUCAUAAGGAUUUUUAUACCGGGAACAAAACACAGGUUUAUUACUGAUUAUUAACAAGCUAAACGGAAGGUUUGGAAUACUCGUUAAAGUAAAAAAGUCAUGGUAAAGCAAAAAUGAUGUGGAAUAUUUUAUUUGGGAUACCAAUACUUUCACUCAAAAAGCUGCUGGUUGCACCUGACAGUUCGUGACAGCAGUUGACUGGCAGCAGCUGAAGUUACAUUUUUUCCUCUUUGCAGGUCUCGUCUCAGAUAAAUAUUACAGUAAUAUUACACAGAUAUAGCUGCAACCAAUUGAUUAUAACUAUGGCUUUGUGAAAUUACACAAAUUGAACCGCAGUUCGCAACACAAUCAUUUAUAUUAAUUUCGAUUUUUCGAAGGUUUAUUUGAAACGGGCAUCGAUAACACGGAAUUCUCGACUUUAAUGGAGUUGUUUUGUGCCGACAGUUUCCCGAUGGAAGGAGCGGCAGUUGCAUCUAUCCGGUCCGUUAUGUACCGAACCGGAGGCCAGUUUAGAAAGCCAGUGUGGUAGUAGCGGAUUGUUAUUUAUAUAUUAUUCGCUCGGCUACGACAGCCAGGAGGCAAAUUUAGAAAACCAGGAGGCCAAUUUAAGUGAUACCGGUUGUGCAACAAGCAAGAUUCUACCCGGUGCCACGGCAUACAAAAAACAAGGCAGGCUCAUCACUGACUUGCUCUGAUCGCCAAACAAAUCCAUUCUCCACAACUUCGUUAGAAAAUCACUUGAACUAUGGGUAAGAGGUUGAAAACAUUACACCCCAGAAGAAUAGCCCCAGAAACUAAUUACCACCGUACGCUUACUACUCACCUAUACAUCUACGGUUUAAGGAACCAUCGGAACAGAUCGGAACCCAUCUCAUCAUGGUUGCUGGUGGUUGUCGGGUAGGAUCGUGUCGAAAGCCCAAACGCCAAGCGGAAAAUGAAGCAGUUCAUUGAUGAGUGUUCUUGAAGUAGUGCAGGUUUUAAGUGAGGACACCGAACGUCAAAUCUAUCUACAGACUGAGAAGACCCGUCUGUAUCCGUGAAGGUAACUGGUAUAACCUCGAGGAUUUUACAAGGUGGAUCGAUCAGGUGGAAGACGAUUUACGGACCAUUUGUAGACUGCUUGGUUGGCGACGUACAGGCAUGGACCGUGUUGAGAGGAUGCCACUG
Molecule: long non-coding RNA, 1349 nt
Organism: Armigeres subalbatus
Lineage: Eukaryota; Metazoa; Arthropoda; Insecta; Diptera; Culicidae
Exons: 6
Source: RefSeq, a predicted model, not a curated record